GACGUACUGGUUUCAGCACCUCCGCGAUGGCGCCGGCUUCACUGAUGGUUACCAUCGCAAUAACCUUGUGCUCCGUUAAUGGUGUAUACUCUACGAGCUUUCCUGUCGCUGUAUUGCCAUCUGAAGUAUUUGACGAAGUGUUGAUUUACUGCGAAGACGGGUCUUCUGCGACUCCAGACGCUAGAUGUAACCGGUUUCAGGACUGCCUUAGCGGAAAAGACGAACACGAUUGUGAAAGCGUACUUUGUCCGUCUGUGUGCAGAUGUACGUAUUCGAGAAGUCAGUGUUUUCAGGGCUGGAAUCUUCAAACCAUUCGUAGUUUAAACAAGACAAUCUGU
Molecule: long non-coding RNA, 338 nt
Organism: Acanthaster planci (crown-of-thorns starfish)
Lineage: Eukaryota; Metazoa; Echinodermata; Asteroidea; Valvatida; Acanthasteridae
Source: RefSeq, a predicted model, not a curated record